Molecule: ribosomal RNA, 480 nt
Filed under: uncultured bacterium
Lineage: Bacteria
Description: SSU rRNA
Rfam family: Bacterial small subunit ribosomal RNA
Source: RNAcentral
AGGAUGAACGCUGGCGGCGUGCCUAACACAUGCAAGUCGAACGUCCUGUCUCGCAAGAGGCAGGGAGUGGCGGACGGGUGAGUACCACGUGGGUUAUCUACCGUGAGGUGAGGAAUACCGGCGAGAAAUCGCCGACAAGACCGCAUAGCCUCGGUGCAAGCCGAGGAAAGCUUUCUCGAGAGAGGGAGCGCCACACGAGGAGCCUGCGCCCGAUUAGCUAGCUGGUGGAGUAACGGUUCACCAGGGCGACGAUCGGUAGCUGGUCUGAGAGGACGAUCAGCCACACUGGGAUUGAGAACGGCCCAGACUCCUACGGGGGGCAGCAGUGAGGAAUUUUCGUCAAUGGGGGCAACCCUGAACGAGCAACGCCGCGUGCAGGAAGAAGGUUUUCGGAUCGUAAACUGCUUUUCGUCGGGGAAGAGAACGGACGGUACCCGAGGAAUCACGCCCCGGCUAACUACGCGCCAGCAGCCGCGGUAA